CCCUCAUUCCCUAUGAUUCCAGCCCUAAGGUCAGGACCCACUGGGACCUAACUGGCACAUACCCAGUGCUGAGCCAAUCACUGUGGCCAGGGAGGAUGGCCAGAUUGAGGUCCUGUGACCACCCUCCCUAAGGAAACUCCUGAGCUGUUCAACCUGUUUUCCUGUGUGGGAGUGAACCUGAGAGAACAGAGGAAAGACGUCAAACUCAUAAGCACGGUGUGGAACUGGAUUACCACUCCCCCCCAUUCGGUGCCCUGUAUGGAAGUGCCCUGCUCGGUUGGAGGAUUAUACAGCACGGCCCAUGUUGUCCUCAGGCAUGGCAGAGGGGCUGCUGAACAGUGAAAACAGAUGUGAGCACACGCGUUAAGAACCAGUGAGUAAUUUACCACUUUUCUUUUCCUUUUUCCACCACAAUGGCAAUAUUCCAGAUAGAGACAGACUGCUCUGUCAACCUGAGUGCAGAGGGGAGAGGAGACGAAGGAGAGCCACAUGUGCAUGUAGUCUGAGACAUAAAGAAACUUUAUUGUAGGCCA
Molecule: long non-coding RNA, 533 nt
Organism: Leopardus geoffroyi (Geoffroy's cat)
Lineage: Eukaryota; Metazoa; Chordata; Mammalia; Carnivora; Felidae
Exons: 2
Source: RefSeq, a predicted model, not a curated record